Molecule: RNase P RNA, 434 nt
Filed under: Acetobacteraceae bacterium
Lineage: Bacteria; Pseudomonadati; Pseudomonadota; Alphaproteobacteria; Acetobacterales; Acetobacteraceae
Description: RNase P RNA component class A
Rfam family: Bacterial RNase P class A
About the family: Ribonuclease P (RNase P) is a ubiquitous endoribonuclease, found in archaea, bacteria and eukarya as well as chloroplasts and mitochondria.
Source: RNAcentral
CCAGGGGGCCGGGCAGCCGCGUCGCUUAUGCGCCGAGGAAAGUCCGGGCUCCACGAAACAAGGGUGGCGGGUAACGCCCGCCGGACGAGAGGCUUGCCUCGAAGUCCAGGGAAAGUGCCACAGAGAGUAUACCGCCGAUGGGCCAGCCUCUUUCGAGGGGUUGAUCACAGGUAAGGGUGAAAGGGUGCGGUAAAAGCGCACCGGGGCGCUGGUAACAGGGUCCGCAUGGCAAACCCCACCCGGAGCAAGACCGAAUAGGGGUCUCGCGCCUGCGCUCUUCGGGGCAAAGGCAGGGGUGUUUCGCCCCGAGAGGCCCGGGUUGGUUGCUGGAGUGGCCGGGCAACCGGUCGCCGAGAUGAAUGGCUGCCCCCGUGCGCCCGUCCGAAAGGAUACCGCGCGCGGGACAGAACCCGGCUUACAGGCCCCCUGGCAAA